This 441-nucleotide ribosomal RNA is filed under the name uncultured soil bacterium. RNAcentral describes it as "bacterial SSU rRNA". It matches the Rfam family "Bacterial small subunit ribosomal RNA", at positions 26 to 518 of the family's 1533-position model. The record is from RNAcentral.
AGAACGAACGCUGGCGGCAUGCCUAACACAUGCAAGUCGAACGAGACCUUCGGGUCUAGUGGCGCACGGGUGCGUAACGCGUGGGAAUCUGCCCUUGGGUACGGAAUAACAGCGAGAAAUUGCUGCUAAUACCGUAUAAUGACUUCGGUCCAAAGAUUUAUCGCCCAGGGAUGAGCCCGCGUAGGAUUAGCUUGUUGGUGAGGUAAAAGCUCACCAAGGCGACGAUCCUUAGCUGGUCUGAGAGGAUGAUCAGCCACACUGGGACUGAGACACGGCCCAGACUCCUACGGGAGGCAGCAGUGGGGAAUAUGGACAAUGGGCGAAAGCCUGAUCCAGCAAUGCCGCGUGAGUGAUGAAGGCCUUAGGUGUAAAGCUCUUUUACCCGGAUGAUAAUGACAGUACCGGAGAAUAAGCUCCGGCUAACUCCGUGCCAGCAGCCGC